UUUUUUUUUUUUUUUUUCUCCAUAUUUAGUAAGAUAUACAUGUAUUCCAUGAAAAGAUAGUGGGGAAAAAUAAUGCAUUUAAAUAUUGAUCACCCUAUCCGUUUCUUUUCUUUCCUUUGCCUUUUUUUUUGUCCCCCUCUUGUCUAGAAUGUUUAUUGCUUGUGUUCUUUAGAUGUUAGCCUUGAUGGUUUCAACUUUGCAUUGUGCAUGCUUUACCUUUUUCACUUUGAUGGUAAGGAAAACAAGGAAAUAAGUUGAUGGGUGAUACAAAAAUCAAAAAGUUGCUUCAACUGGGUAUAACAUCUUCAAUUGUAUUUGCGGGAAUGAGAUUGAUGGAACUUUGGGAGUGGUUGAUAUUUGGAAUUGCAUUAUUUGGAGACGGCUUAUCGCCAUUAAUCUCGCUAAUGAGGACUUGCGGCGCAUUUUCCCGGUGACGAAUUGUACAUAGAAUUUGAUGUUUACAAAUUACUAGCGAGCUGAGACGCCAACUGAUGUUAAAGAUGAUUAGAAAAUAAUUUAUCCUUUGUUUGAUCCCUGCUAAUGGGAGGUAGCAGGUAGGAUAUUUAUCGGUGACGAGGUGUUCGUCUCACGUGGGAUAGUAUAGUGAAGCGGGUGAUUAGUAUUGGUUUUCUUAUUAUUCAUAUAUCAAGUAUGAUUCUGUAAUUGGA
This 668-nucleotide unclassified non-coding RNA is filed under the name Hevea brasiliensis (rubber tree). Lineage: Eukaryota; Viridiplantae; Streptophyta; Magnoliopsida; Malpighiales; Euphorbiaceae. The record is from RNAcentral.